GUGGGAUAUAGUCUCGUGGUGGGCCGUUUUUUAAGGCCGUCGGAAAAGCGCAGUAUUCAGGUGGGAGUGACCCGAUUUUCCAGGUGCCGUCUGUUACUCCUUUCUUUGACUAGGAAAGGGAACUCCCUGACCCCUUGCGCUUCCCGAGUGAGGCAAUGCCUCGCCCUGCUUUGGCUCGCGCACAGUGCGCGUGCACCCACUGACCUGUGUCCACUGUCUGGCACUCCCUAGUGAGAUGAACCCGGUACCUCAGAUGGAAAUGCAGAAAUCACCCGUCUUCUGCAUCGCUCACGCUGGGAGCUGUAGACUGGAGCUGUUCCUAUUCGGCCAUCUUGGCUCCUCCCAGAGGAAAGUACUUUCAAGCUUGCCUGAGGUCUGAGAAGCUGAGCUUUCUGCAGUGGUCUCAGUGGAACCUUUGACCAGAGCAUUCGAAGGGUGCCUUUCCUGUUUCCUUUCUCGGCAUUGAAACAUCAAGAUACGGAAUCCAGAAGGGUCACCAGAACCUGGCCCUCUGCAAUCUGGACUCGAGGCUGCAGACUUGCUGUUGAACUGGGCUGGGCAGGAGGGCAGAGUGGGCACCAGGGCCCACCUUCCUGGGGCCCUGAAAGGGUGGGAUGGUGUGUACUGGUCCCCUCACCCAAAUGCAGGUGUGGGAGGAGGACAUCCAUCAUGAUGCUACAUGGCAUUUGCUUCACCACCAGGAGAGAGGUCUUGGCAAACCUCAGCAUCACAGAAGAAAAUCAUAAAGAGCUGCUGGUGGUGGUAGGGAACACUCACCUGGACAGGGGACUGUGAGAGUCAGCAAGUGCCCAUCCCUGCAUUGGGCCAAUGCCCUACAGUUCGGUUGGACACCCAGAACCCCAAGCACCCUCAGGUGCUGCUGCUGGAACAGCCAUCUCAUGCAGGAGCUCAGGUCACGUUUAAGGUCUUGGGCCAAGGUCUAUCAUCUUAAAGAGCUACGGUUUUUGGACAUUUUUCUGGCAACAAAGAAACCUCUUAAAUUUGGAACAAAGAGGAGGAAAAAACCUGCCUCUGGAAGAGAAAAUACUUCUAAUUAGAUUGAGAUACAAAGGUUAAAUUUUUGUUCUGGGAAAAAGACUGUUUAUAAUCCUGUGUCAUUAGCAGGACAUUUUCCAGAGACCAGUGUGCCAGAAAUAGACCCUCUGAGGGGUCACUGGAAGGAAGGGGUGCAGAUUUCUG
This 1200-nucleotide long non-coding RNA is filed under the name Homo sapiens (human). RNAcentral's name for it is "HSALNT0280621". The record is from RNAcentral. Lineage: Eukaryota; Metazoa; Chordata; Mammalia; Primates; Hominidae.